RNAcentral lists this ribosomal RNA (449 nucleotides) under uncultured bacterium. Its description in RNAcentral is "partial 16S ribosomal RNA". It matches the Rfam family "Bacterial small subunit ribosomal RNA", at positions 29 to 523 of the family's 1533-position model. The record is from RNAcentral.
CACGAACGCUGGCGGCAUGCCUAACACAUGCAAGUCGAACGAGAUCUUCGGGUCUAGUGGCGCACGGGUGCGUAACGCGUGGGAAUCUGCCCUUUGGUUCGGAAUAACAGUUGGAAACGACUGCUAAUACCGGAUGAUGACGAAAGUCCAAAGAUUUAUCGCCAGAGGAUGAGCCCGCGUAGGAUUAGCUAGUUGGUGUGGUAAAGGCGCACCAAGGCGACGAUCCUUAGCUGGUCUGAGAGGAUGAUCAGCCACACUGGGACUGAGACACGGCCCAGACUCCUACGGGAGGCAGCAGUGGGGAAUAUUGGACAAUGGGCGGAAGCUUGAUCCAGCAAUGCCGCGUGAGUGAUGAAGGCCUUAGGGUUGUAAAGCUCUUUUACCCGGGAUGAUAAUGACAGUACCGGGAGAAUAAGCUCCGGCUAACUCCGUGCCAGCCGCCGCCGUAA